Molecule: long non-coding RNA, 1005 nt
Filed under: Scophthalmus maximus (turbot)
Lineage: Eukaryota; Metazoa; Chordata; Actinopteri; Pleuronectiformes; Scophthalmidae
Description: lncRNA (ENSSMAG00000036090.1)
Source: RNAcentral
CGAAGUUAGUGGUGUGUUUGUUUGUGUGGCAGCGCUUUGAGUGCUGUGACCAUUGCUGAGUGUCGUAGUAGGAGAGGGUAUGUCUUUUAAAACGUUGCUUAUUCCGACAUGUGUUUUAACGAUUGUGAUGGUGCAUUAAGAUGGUUUCUUUUCCACUAGCGCAUGGGGUAAGAAUUGGGCAGACGCACUCCAAGCUGCACGAGUAAGUUAUGACAGUUUUGUUUUUAAAAGUCGUUAUGUUUGUGUCUUUAUAGAUGGCAACAGUCUCUGCCCCAGUGCAAGCUGCUGUUUUCUUACCAUUGUUAAUGUGCUUAUUAGACAUUGUGCAUGGGUGCUGCUCUAUGAGAUUUUAAAACUGAAAUUCCCUCUAGCCAGUUGACUAUACGGUUUAUGUAGACUCCAGUAUUGGUGAAGUGUGAUCCAUCAACUAGAAGGCUUUCUCUUCUAUUUCUUUAAUUUAGUUUUUUGUUUCUUUUGUUCUUUUCUUUUUGAAGUUUGUCAGCCUUGUUGCUGGUUGGGCCAGGAUCUUUUGGGAGGCUAAUUAGGAGCAGGUUUCCUCAAAGUGUGUUCACGAGAGUGCCUUGAGGGUAAACUGCUCCCAUGUGCGGAAGACACAGCAAUGCUUUGAGCUACGUGCUCACAAUGACAGCAGGAAGAUGUCCGAGGUCAGAACCGAACGCUGCAGGAGGACUCGAGUCUCCAGUACUGCUAAAAGAUUGUUUACCCUAGAGCCAUGUGUUGAACGGAGUUUGGAGGAGAACAUUGCUGAUCACCAUCUCUUUAAGGUAUCAAGGUAUUAUGUAAAAGAAACUCGUACAACCUCACUUCUAAAUAACUGAACCAUCCCUUUAAGUAUAUCUUCUGUGUUGUUUUCAGAAGAAUCUUCUCGGGUCACGUGUUCCAAAGUUUUCAGGAGCCCUAGCACUAUGCAACACCAUGUUAGGUUUUAUAAAGAGGUUGAGUUUCUGUCAGUCCCUUGUAGAAGAAUUCAUCUGUUGUAUAUCU